UUCGGUUUUACAAAGGAACACAUCUUAGAAAUGGAACUCGCUUGAAUAUCUCUACCUCGUAUAUGACAGUUAAUGGAGUUAUUUACUCCAUGUCUUCUGUGCUGAUUUUCUAGCCAUGAUCCAAUCCACUUCAUUUUACAGGAACACUUGAUUGAUAUACGUCCAAACGAUAUUGUGUGGUCAUUUCUCAUUAACAGUACAUUCUUAUGAAUCUGAACUAUUUUAUUGUGCUGAAGAUUAAUAUUCCGUAGUUUCAUGAUUCCAUAAACAAAUGGAUCUACACUUGUUAUUCUAUUAUUAGAAAAAUUAAUUGAAAACGUUCUAUUCAGAAAAGUACGGUAUUCAAAAACAGAAAUUAAGUUAUGGCUUAAAUUAAUAUCUAAAUCAUCUUGUUGUAGACAAACACUCGGCAUUUUAUACUUUCUAGUCGACGAACAAUUAACCACAACCCUAGACCUCGAUGGUUGUUCGUAACAAUUACAUUCAGGAGGGCAUCCAUUUUUCAUCGAUAUAGCACAUUUUAAAAGGUCUUCACUGAUAUCAACAAUCC
RNAcentral lists this long non-coding RNA (550 nucleotides) under Mytilus galloprovincialis (Mediterranean mussel). The record is from RNAcentral. Lineage: Eukaryota; Metazoa; Mollusca; Bivalvia; Mytilida; Mytilidae.